GUACAAAUUUUUGACGUGUCAAAAUGACACGUCAAAAUAUUUUUGACGUGCCAUUUUGACACGUCAAAAAUAUUUUUGAUGUGCCAUUUUGACACGUCAAAAAUU
Corylus avellana is the source of this 105-nucleotide non-coding RNA. NCBI's taxonomy places the organism in Eukaryota, Viridiplantae, Streptophyta, Magnoliopsida, Fagales, Betulaceae. The record is from RefSeq and is a predicted model, not a curated record.